This 217-nucleotide long non-coding RNA is filed under the name Ananas comosus (pineapple). RNAcentral's name for it is "long non-coding RNA (ACOM_LNC038912)". The record is from RNAcentral. Lineage: Eukaryota; Viridiplantae; Streptophyta; Magnoliopsida; Poales; Bromeliaceae.
ACCCUUUUAUACCAUCUUUUGUAUUUUGAUGGUUAUAGAUGUUUAAAUGAAAGAAUAUGAACGAUGUAAAAGAAUUUAUGGUUUAAUGUUAAAGGCUUAGCUUUGGAGAAAGUACAUUAUGUUCAUUUUGGUGAUAUUGUAAUGUAUAAAAGAAAUGAUGCAAAGAAUGUAAACAAUUUUAUUAAAGUUGUGUGCAUGUAUAUGAUUUAAAGUUAAU